This 30-nucleotide non-coding RNA is filed under the name Rattus norvegicus (Norway rat). The record is from RNAcentral. Lineage: Eukaryota; Metazoa; Chordata; Mammalia; Rodentia; Muridae.
UGGUUGGAUGCCAACUGGGGUCCCUUCCUU